ACAUGCCUACAACAUAACAUUAAUGCACCGGAUCUCAUUAGAACUUCACAGUUAAGUGCGCUCAGGCUAAAAUAGUACUGGGAUGAGUGACCGCCUGGGAAGUACUAUUUUUUUACAUGCC
Non-coding RNA from Picea glauca (white spruce), 121 nucleotides. The record is from Rfam. NCBI's taxonomy places the organism in Eukaryota, Viridiplantae, Streptophyta, Pinopsida, Pinales, Pinaceae.